Molecule: long non-coding RNA, 1154 nt
Filed under: Sinocyclocheilus anshuiensis
Lineage: Eukaryota; Metazoa; Chordata; Actinopteri; Cypriniformes; Cyprinidae
Description: lncRNA (ENSSANG00000049458.1)
Source: RNAcentral
AUUUAAAAAAAAUAAAUUAAUUAAUUUUGGUACCUGUUGUUAUCUUCAAAAUCAAAAUAAAAUGUGUAAGUAAAUAACAGUGAGAUUAUAUUUUAGCACUGCUCAACAGAAAUUUGCAGAGAUUUCAAAACUGGCCCAUGCUGGAUUGGUGCUGGUCUAGCUAGUUGGCUAUGAUAGCCAUGCUGUUCACCAGUUGGUGAAGUUGGUCAACCAGCAUUGUCUGUGAGAUGACAGACUGGUUGGCCAAAGGAAGUCAUACUGGAUACAGCUAGUUAUGAAGCCGGUUGGGGACCAGCAUGUAAAACAUAACAUAUGUUGUUGUUUUUAAGAAACUUUCUCUGUCUGCAAGUUGUCCAGUUUUUAGCUCUUCUUAAUUUCAUUUAAUGUUGAGCAUGCAGAUUAUGCCUCCUGCUAAUAGCCAUGUAAAGACAUCAGCAUCUGCUGCCUCUGAUCCAGGACCAGUGUCGAGUUACGUGCUAAUGGAUCCUCAUUACUGCACAAAGAGGGUUCAGUGAACUUCAGAUUCCUGAUGUAUCUCAGCUGGCAGUUGGGUGAUAAUCUGUAAACUGUUUGUAAACCCUGAUUCAGGACCACACGGAUUACAUCUAGACUCAGAUAAGACGAAUCGUUCGUUUCGUGUUUGCAACGGUGCUUGAAUCUUGCUGAACUCAUGUAAUAUGAAAACAUUCAUUUGUUCUCUCUUAUUGUAAACCCCAAAAUCAUUAAAUUAUUCCAUUCUCGUCUUUCCAAACUUGUAUGAUGUUAUAUACUUCUUUUUUUUUUUUUUUUUUUUUUUACAGUUUCUGUCCCUAUUUACGUUCAGUGAAUGGAAAAGGGCAGCCUGGACAUUCUAUAGAAUAAGGCGAGAUGGAACUGUAGGAAGAAGCUGAAGAAGUUGAGAAAUACAUGCUGGCAGUUAUUCUGAAAAUGUCUGUUUCCCACCGGAAUGAAACUUAUACAGGCAAAACAAUGAAAAGCCCCCUCCGUUGGAGAGAGAGAGAGAGAGAAAGAGAGGGAUGGAAUGAGAAAGAGAGCGAGUGAAACCGAGUGAGUCAUGAGUGCAGCUUUGAACAACAAGGGGAAAUCCUCCUAUUGAGAGGCAUGCGCUGUGGAAACGCAUCACUCAUAGAGGUAAUGGAACCGGAGGCCACACA